This 435-nucleotide ribosomal RNA is filed under the name uncultured bacterium. RNAcentral's name for it is "bacterial SSU rRNA". It matches the Rfam family "Bacterial small subunit ribosomal RNA", at positions 32 to 457 of the family's 1533-position model. The record is from RNAcentral.
AAUCAACGCUAGCGGCGUGCCUCAGACAUGCAAGUCGAACGAUUAAAGCUCUCUUCGGAGAGUGUAUAGAGUGGCGCACGGGUGAGUAACACGUAAGUAAUCUACCUUCGAGUGGGGAAUAACAGUCGGAAACGACUGCUAAUACCGCAUAAUGCAGCGGCAUCGCAAGAUGACAGUUGUUAAAGGAGUAAUUCGCUUGAAGAGGAGCUUGCGGCAGAUUAGCUUGUUGGUAAGGUAACGGCUUACCAAGGCUACGAUCUGUAACCGGUCUAAGAGGACGGUCGGUCACACUGACACUGAAUAACGGGUCAGACUCCUACGGGAGGCAGCAGUCGGGAAUUUUGGGCAAUGGGCGAAAGCCUGACCCAGCAACGCCGCGUGAAGGAUGAAGUAUUUCGGUAUGUAAACUUCGAAAGAAUAGGAAGAAUCAAUGAC